CCCCAACCAAAUCUUUUCAGGUCAUUUGUCGUCCUCAUAUCUGUAUUUGGACACAAUUAUUCGUCGUAGAUUUCAGCAAGAUUAAAAGUGUAAAUACAUCAACAAAAUACGACAGUACGGUACCGGGACGGAGUAAGGCCGUGACGUACAAGUUGUUCUGUGCUGUGAUUGGCUGAAGAGGAAUAGUUAAAUCGCCGCGUUCUAAAACUGGACCUUGCGAUUUGACAUGUUCAAUAUCUGGCGACUCCUUGCAACGCCUUGCGACGCCUUGCGACGGCUUGCAACGACCCGUUCACACCGCCCCUGCGACGUUCUAAAACCGUCUCGUUGCAAGCCGUUGCAAGGUGAAUCUUUGGUCUGAACUGGGCUUAAGGUGUGUGUGUGUGUGUGUGUGUGUGUGUGUGUGUGUGUGUGCGUGUGCGUGUGCAUGUGUGAUGUGUGUGUGUGAUGUGUAUUGUGCGCGAGCACUGCAUUCAUAACAUUCGUUUUCAUAGAAAUCACGUGCCCGCGCUGAGGGAGGCGUGUUUUUUCCACUGCGAGUCAACGGUGUCGCAGCGAAGAGCCUUUCUUUCACUUCCUUUCACCUGAUUAACUUGUUUUAGAAACACUCUAACCUCCGUUUCUUCCUUACAUUUAAACUUUUACAACUUUAUACCGUAUGGACGCAAUAUAAUCCCGGAGUAGAUACGAUAAGGUCUCCAGUCUACUAUGGAUGAGGAGAGAGAGGAGGGGGGUCCUACCUCUAAGACCACUCUGUCUGGGGAACAUGGCCGCCGGAGCAAAGCUAAGAGCCCAGAGCAGAGAGCAGACUCCCCUGGACCCAGCUGUGUCUCCAUGAAGAGUGACAGCUCUAUGGAACAACCUCAUAACUUUAAAGAUGGAAAUCAGUCUAUUGAGAAGAGAAGAGUCCAGCAGGAGAGAGCAGACUCCCCUGGACCCAGCUGUGUCUCCAUGAAGAGUGGCUGGUCUAUGGAUAUACCAUUGGUGUUUAAAGAUGGACGCCCCCCCAGAGAGGAGAGGUAGGACUUUUAAACAGACAAGGAAAACAGACCAGUUGGUUGUUAUCAGUCUCUACUGCUGCUGAUAUUUACAAGUGUGUGUGUGUGUGUGUGUGUGUGUGUGUGUGUGUGUGUGUGUGUGUGUGUGUGUGUGUGUUUGUUUUUACCACCUUGUGAGGACUUGCGCUUGUAAAACUAGCCAUCUUGUUAGGACCAUGUGACAAAGUUAGGACCUAAAUCAUGGUCCUAAGAAGGAUAAGCAGUGUAACA
This 1268-nucleotide long non-coding RNA is filed under the name Gadus morhua (Atlantic cod). RNAcentral describes it as "lncRNA (ENSGMOG00000031854.1)". The record is from RNAcentral. Lineage: Eukaryota; Metazoa; Chordata; Actinopteri; Gadiformes; Gadidae.